Molecule: long non-coding RNA, 1431 nt
Filed under: Oryctolagus cuniculus (rabbit)
Lineage: Eukaryota; Metazoa; Chordata; Mammalia; Lagomorpha; Leporidae
Description: lncRNA (ENSOCUG00000035447.1)
Source: RNAcentral
AUGCAAAAACAAACAAACAAACAAACAAAAAACAAACCUAAAAGAGCAGAGGACUUCCUCGCGAGAUGUCUUCUCUCGGCCCGGGAAUGCGAGGUGGCUGUUGCGCAAGCGCAGUCUGUCCAGGGCCCGGACUGCGCGGCAGUGCCGGCGGUGCCGCAGCCGAGCUCCCGCAGGGAGAGCAGGGCAGCCCUCGGGGGCGCCAGUAACCCCUCGCGCGCAGAGCAGCCCUCGGGGGCGCCAGUAACCCCUCGCUGGGGCUUCCAAGGACGGGACCUUCCAGGAGCCCUCGCGUGGCAAGGAGGGCCCCCACCCGCCCCUGGACCCCACUCUGAGUUUCCGAAACGUAAGCUCCUCCUCCCCGGGCCCCCCUCCGGGCUGCCCUGGACAGCCUCCGCGGCUCCCUGCGCUCCCAGCUGCCGCGCGUGGAGCCCGACCGACCCAGGCCUCCACGGCUCGCGCUGGAACCCCGUGGCCGGCAGCAGCCCUGCUGGCUCGCCUUCUCCACUCGCCUUUGCUGAGGCCUCGCUGCCCCCCCGGAAUCCUGUGUGCACACACGCGCACACACACACUCAUGCACACACAUAUACGCACGUGCACACACACAAAGUACACCUGCACAUGCACACACACAUGAACGCGCACACACGCACACACACACAAACACGCACGCGCACACACGCGCACACACAUGCACACACAUAUACGCACGUGCACACACGCACACGCACGCAUACACACGCAUAUGCAUGCGCACACACAUACACGCACACACAUACACGCAUGCACACACAUGCAUGCACACACGCACACACAUAUACGCACACGCACACACAUGCACGCACACAAAGUACACAUGCACAUGCACACACACAUGAACGCGCACACACGCACACGCACGCACACACAUACACGCGUGCACAUACACACACGCACACGCAUGCACACAUGUGCACACACAUACACGCAUGCACACACGUGCAUGCACAUGCACACAUGCACACACGCACACAAGUACACACACAUGCACACACAUGUGCACAUGCAUGCACACACGUGCACACACGUGCACAUGCACACACGCGCACACACACAUGCACACACACACACACUCCGCUUUCACUUCCUGUCUGUGUGCAGCCCUGGGCUCGCUCCGCAGGCUGCCCGUGGCCCCCCGCACUUGUAUGUCCGCGCUGGCGACGCCGCCACAGAGCAGGGACUGCGGGAUUCCAAGGCCUUCGGGCCCUGGCUCGCUCUCAGACAGAGCAGGGCUGGGGGACCCCCGUCCCCGCCUCCCACCUUCCCUUGCCUCGCGGCUCAGUGUGGCCCCUGUUCUCCCUCUCCAUGUCACCCGGCUCCUGCUUGUCUCCUGGGAGACCCUGCGGGCUGCAGCGGGGGGACAGGUGGCUCUCCAGGCUCAGGCCACACAGCUGA